CAUGGGUUUAUGUUAUAUUCCAUCUCUUGCACACUGGACUCCAGUGCUGCUGCUGGCUGGUGUGCAGGGGGUGGAAUACAUCAUUGAAUCAUG
Molecule: microRNA precursor, 93 nt
Filed under: Theobroma cacao (cacao)
Lineage: Eukaryota; Viridiplantae; Streptophyta; Magnoliopsida; Malvales; Malvaceae
Description: MIR2950 microRNA precursor family
Rfam family: MIR2950 microRNA precursor family
Source: Rfam by way of RNAcentral